RNAcentral lists this ribosomal RNA (389 nucleotides) under uncultured Acholeplasma sp. RNAcentral's name for it is "bacterial SSU rRNA". It matches the Rfam family "Bacterial small subunit ribosomal RNA", at positions 988 to 1382 of the family's 1533-position model. The record is from RNAcentral. Lineage: Bacteria; Bacillati; Mycoplasmatota; Mollicutes; Acholeplasmatales; Acholeplasmataceae.
CCCCCGCGAUGCUUUAGAGAUAAAGCGGAGGUAUUCGGGGAGACAGGUGGUGCAUGGUUGUCGUCAGCUCGUGUCGUGAGAUGUUGGGUUAAGUCCCGCAACGAGCGCAACCCCUAUUGCUAGUUACCAUCAUUAAGUUGGGGACUCUAGCGAGACUGCCAGUGAUAAACUGGAGGAAGGUGGGGAUGACGUCAAAUCAUCAUGCCCCUUAUGACCUGGGCUACAAACGUGAUACAAUGGCUGGAACAAAGGGAUGCGAAGCAGUGAUGUGGAGCGAAACCCAUAAAAACAGUCUCAGUUCGGAUUGAAGUCUGCAACUCGACUUCAUGAAGUCGGAAUCGCUAGUAAUCGCGGAUCAGAACGCCGCGGUGAAUACGUUCUCGGGGUUU